RNAcentral lists this ribosomal RNA (242 nucleotides) under uncultured bacterium. Its description in RNAcentral is "partial 16S ribosomal RNA". It matches the Rfam family "Bacterial small subunit ribosomal RNA", at positions 524 to 765 of the family's 1533-position model. The record is from RNAcentral.
UACAGGGGGUGCAAACGUUGCUCGGAAUUAUUGGGCGUAAAGCGCGCGUAGGCGGCUACUUAAGUCGGAUGUGAAAGCCCUUGGCUCAACUGAGGAAGUGCACCCGAAACUGAGUGGCUUGAAUCCGGGAGAGGGAUGCGGAAUUCCAGGUGUAGCGGUGAAAUGCGUAGAUAUCUGGAGGAACACCGGUGGCGAAGGCGGCAUCCUGGACCGGCAUUGACGCUGAGGCGCGAAAGCCAGGG